This 817-nucleotide ribosomal RNA is filed under the name uncultured marine bacterium. RNAcentral's name for it is "bacterial SSU rRNA". It matches the Rfam family "Bacterial small subunit ribosomal RNA", at positions 60 to 923 of the family's 1533-position model. The record is from RNAcentral.
AGUCGAACGAAGUAGCAAUACUUAGUGGCAGACGGGUGAGUAACAUGUAGGUAUCUUCCCUUUGGUGAGGAAUAACACGAGGAAACUUGUGCUAAUACCUCAUAAGUCUUUACGGAGAAAGCUUUACGCGCCAAUGGAUGAGCCUGCACUUGAUUAGUUUGUUGGUAGGGUAAUGGCCUACCAAGACUAUGAUCAAUAGCUGAUUUGAGAGGAUGAUCAGCCACAUUGGGACUGAGACACGGCCCAAACUCCUACGGGAGGCAGCAGUAGGGAAUCUUGCACAAUGGGGGAAACCCUGAUGCAGCGAUGCCGCGUGAGUGAAGAAGGCCUUUGGGUUGUAAAGCUCUUUCGUCGGGGAAGAAAAUGACUGUACCCGAAUAAGAAGGUCCGGCUAACUUCGUGCCAGCAGCCGCGGUAAUACGAAGGGACCUAGCGUAGUUCGGAAUUACUGGGCUUAAAGAGUUCGUAGGUUGUUAAAAAAGUUGGUGGUGAAAUCCCAGAGCUUAACUCUGGAACUGCCAUCAAAACUUUUUAGCUAGAGUAUGAUAGAGGAAAGCAGAAUUUCUAGUGUAGAGGUGAAAUUCGUAGAUAUUAGAAAGAAUACCAAUUGCGAAGGCAGCUUUCUGGAUCAUUACUGACACUGAGGAACGAAAGCAUGGGUAGCGAAGAGGAUUAGAUACCCUCGUAGUCCAUGCCGUAAACGAUGUGUGUUAGACGUUGGAAAUUUAUUUUCAGUGUCGCAGCGAAAGCAAUAAACACACCCGCCUGGGGAGUACGACCGCAAGGUUAAAACUCAAAUGAAUUUGACGGGGACCCC